CAUCCCCUGUGUGGGCAAGCCUAGCUUUUAUUGCCAUGGAAGCAACUGGCAAGGGUGUAAGUCCCAGACAACGAGAUCUGUAGCCUCUCCAGCUGCAUGCAGUUGUAUGUGUGCCUUUGUAGGCAAAUACUUCAGUGAUGGGAAGUCAUUUAAAAAAAAAUGUAAUUUGGAGAACUAGUGCCUGCUAAACAGAGGUUAUAUAAAUUAUUAAUUUCUGUGAAAUUCAUCAGAAAGUACCAGUAAUUUGCAAAUGGUAUUUCCUAAUUGAAGAUGGUCUGACCUGUUUCUCAAUGCUGCUCCUGGAAGCCCAAGCAAGCAAUGUUAAUUUCCUGCCCCACCUCCACCUUCAAUAAAGUAUAUGGCAAAUAGAGCAUUUAAUCAGUGUCGCUGGUUGUAUAGGUCUGUGACUAGCAUUUCACAAAGUGCUUCUUCAAGGACAUAGAAGUUAUUACUCAUUGCUGAAGUGAAUUGAUUCUACCUUUUAUAAGCCUACAGGAUACACAGGGUUGACAGGAAUCCUGUCAAUUCUUAACCCUCCUUUCUUCCUGUUAUGGAGGCUGUGGUUGUUUUAACAAGGCACGACACAAAUGAGUUGUUGUACCUCAACGAUGUUCAGAAGGGGAAAAAACUCAAGGCCAUUAUCUUCUUAUAAAACAUUACCUCACUCCAGCACCAAAACAUGCAUGUUACACCUCCGGUGGACAAAGUUGAGGACAGGCAAACAGACAGGACCACUCCAUCUCAAUUGACUCAUGUAUAAAUUAUUUGCUUGUCUUCUGCUUCAGUGAUUAUACAAUUUUCUCUCAUGUUAUUUGCAAUUUCUCAGCCUACUGUGAGAAACAUGCCUGGUAGCCUAUUAAUCUAGCCGAAGGUCAGUUAUGCUGAUUAAAGCUAUUUUUUUAACAGGAAGUCAGCUGCUUGCUUGGAAGGCAAAAAUGAUGAUGUCUAAUAUUGUUCUUUGACUUUUACUGUUUCAAUAGAUAUAUCAGAAAACUGUUUUGUUUUUUUUUAAUCCUGUCCCAGACCUUUCCAUUGAAGAAGCUCUUUAAACAUCUCAGCAUAGAGGAUAUAGAUAAUAAAAGUAGUUUUGUUUAUUCAUUUUUUCCUAAGAUGCUUCUUCUGGGAACUCUUUCCUCCCUCCUCCUCACUCCUUAUCUCUCACAGGUGAUGGGCCUCUUCAGACUGGGAGAGUUUUGGGAGAUAUUCUGUUAAUGUGAAGUACUUUAUUAAAAAAUCUGAAAUUUAAAGGCAAUUCUGUGACAAAAAAAGUGAACUUUAGACCAAAUUUUCAAAGUAAUCAGAUUGAAGCACUUAUAUUAAAAAAUUACACAAUGACUUUCUGAGAUGUGAAAAUGCUUAGAUUGGAAGGAGGAUCAAAGAAAUUAUGGACCAUUCUUUAAACGUCUGCUUUGUUCAUGAAUAUUCCCUGGAAACACGAGAAGGCUUCAGGGAAGGAUGUAGAUGUGGGCAGUUUCUUGCUUACAUAUGCACUGCUUAUAAUUAAUUUUGUCAAAGUGUUUGUUAUUUCAUGGAUUUAAAAAAAAAGAAAACUGAGUCAAAAAUGUAUUGUGUGACCUGCCCUUAGGUUCAUGAUUUCUAAUUUUUUAUUUUAUUUGUGGUUGCUUUAUUCCUUGAUGAAUUUAAAAGUUUUAAAUUUAAUGGUUAGCUUUGAUUUUUUUUGUAUAUUUACUUUUUUAUAAUGUUAUUUAAAAAUCAGCAUUCUUUUUUGAUAUGGGAAGUAUAUUAUAAUACUUAAUGUUUUGUAUCUCCAAUUGUAAAAAUGUAUUUUUGACUCCUAAAUUGAUUUCAAGCAUUUGUCUUAAAAUACUGUUGGGGGGGCAUGUCAAAUUAGAAGUCAAUAUUAAAAAGGUCCCAUUUCCACUGUGUGUUCUCGAAGCACAGAAAGUUCUUACCUUUUGCUUUUUGAGUGACAGUCUUUGUUUUUUUGUUAUGGUUUUUUUUUGUUGUUUUUUGGGGUUUUUUUUUUUUGGUAAUUACCUAAAUAAUGAGGUUAGCUGAUCUACUCUCAGCCAUUGGCUUUUCCUCAUUUAGUUAAUGCAAUAUUUGUUUCACCUUGAAGUCAUUUCAGCUGUUAUAUAAAUGGCUUAGCAUUUUGAUAUAUAGAGUUUUAAGUUUCCUAUAAUUUAAAAACAAUCAAACCCAAUCUAUUUUUAAUGAGUCUAAAAUUCCUGGAGAAAAAGGGAAAUGAGAAUGAUUCCCCUUUUUACUUGUUCACUUCUGUAUUUUCAUCCAUAGUGAGUAUUUACUUAAUGGUGGAUGGAUUUGGAUUCUUCUAUAGGUAUUUUUCUAAAUGUCACUUGCUGCAAAUGUCCUUGCACAGACGUUGAAGUUGAAACUUCAUUAAACAAAAACCACAAAUAUUUCAUUAACAAAAUUUAUAGCUUCAUGGAAAGAUUAAUCUUUCUUGGCCUCAGUUGUUGAUCUUUAAGUUAAAGACUUGCCAAUUCCCUGAGAACUUCCGGUACUCUUGUUGUAUCUCACAUUAAAGAUCACAGUAGUAGAGUCAUUGCUGGUGUGUUGGAUUCAUCACAGAACAACCAUUUAAAAGGAAGGGGUGGUCAUACAGCCCUACUAAAAUGUGUUGACCAAGAGGACCAAGACCCACUAUCUAUUUUCAAGGGGCUCAUAGUCUGGCAGGGACACAGUCACAUGAACUCAAAGUACAAUAUGGUAACUACUUUCAUGAAGUUGCAUGUACUGGGGCUAGUCAAGGGAAAAGAAAGAGUGCCAACCCACCUGGAGCACCAGCCCCUUCUCAGAAAAGAGAACACGUGCAGAGAGCUGAAAAACCUUCAUGUGUUUUUUAUACCAACUUCAGGGGAGCCCAAGGAAUUGAGACUUUCCUGGAAAGGAUCUAUGACUCCCAAAAUACCUUGAACAAUUUCUGGUUGAUGAAAUUCAAGACCUAGUGCUUCAGAACUUUAAGGUUUUCAUUCCUGUUAAAAAUAUGGUUUUGAUGGUGCUAAUAUUUCAAGUUUCAAAAAUUCACAUCUCUGUGUGGACAAGCUUCAGGUAUUUUUUCUGAGCAUAUUUUCAUAGUAUAAGGGGAAAAAAAUACUAGCUACAAUGGAGGGCAUUCUAGAGGAGGAUGAAUACUGGUCACAGAAAGAAAACUGAUGGUACAGGUUGAGAAUCCAAAAUUCCAAACUCCAAAAUGCCCCCAAAUUUAAAACUUUUUCAGUGCCAACAUGAUGGAUGCAACAGAAUAAAAGUUCUACACCUGACCUCAUGUGAUAGGCUGCAGUCAAGGCAGACCAAAAUAUUGCAUUAAAAUUACCUUCAGGCUAUACAUAUUGUAUAAAAAAAAACACAAAUGAUUUCAUGUUUUUACUUGGGUCCCACAGCCAAGAUAUUAUUUAUGAGCAGCUAUUUCAAAAUCCAAAAAAUUCAAAAUUGGAAACAUUUUUGUUCUCAAGAAUUUUGUAUAAAUGACACUCAUCCUGUACCAGAACAAUCGUGAGUGGUUUAAAAGUUCUGAAGAUCUUUUAUGCCUAUGUGCUGUGCAUCUAAGGACCUCCUCAAUUUGUGUUCCCUUCCUCUUCUUUGUUCAACCUCCCUACUUCCUCUUGCCUCUUCAAACCUAUUGUAUACUUCUUUCACUAAAAUUGAAUAGGGGUAGUGAGUUAUCAAAAGCUUCCACUCAAGAAAAAUUCUACCUGUUGUUUGUUUCUAAUGUGUUUUCACUAAGGUGGAGUGAAGCAUCAGGUGUUCAACCAUGGAGAAGCCAAAUGAAGCUCCUAGGGAGUUUGAUUCAGGGAAAUGUUGGCUACUGGGAGGGAAGUUUAGCUAUCUCAGUCCACCCAUGAGGACUGGCCUUUGUCACUCCCUUAGAGGACAUCUGUAACAUCAUAUCCUUGAUUUUAAUAAAGAUCUAUUUAAAAAAAAUAAAUACUGGGGUGGGGAUAUGGCUCAAGCAGUAGCGCGCUCGCCUGGCAUGCCUGCAGCCCUGGUUCGAUCCUCAGCAAUACAAUACAAUAUAAUAGGAUACAAUAAUAGAGACUUCAUGAAGGUUUUUUAAAGGAUUAUGUGGGUUAAUUCACAUACAAACAAAGAUGUUGUGUCUGCCGAAAACUAAAAAAUAAAUAUUAAAAAAAUUCUCUCUCUCUCUCUCUCUCUCUUUAAAAAAAUAAAUAAAAAUAAAAAAAUAAAUACUACUAUGACAUUACUUCAGAUUUUUUGAUCUGUGUAGAAUGACACUGCAAAGGAAGAUCUUGGCUGACCAAAGAUAAGUCGUUUCAAAGAUUUUCAUGGAUGUGAAUAAAAAUGACAACUUGGCAGCCAGAGAUCUCAUCCAUAAAAGACUGGAGAUAUUCAGAUCAAGGCCCCAAACCCAUUCAAAACGGAUUAUUGCCCUAAAUGACUCUGAGGUCUUUUUGAACUUUAAGAGUGUUCAAGUUGAUGAAGUGUCUCACCAGAUAGAUGAACAGGCCAUGACUAGGGGCUGUUGAAUCAGCAAGGAUGACCAAAUGUGCUUUCAGCAAAGGGUACAUACUUCGUUUGAUAUGGAGGUCUGUCUCCUUUCUAGUUCUCUAUGUACUGAAAUUGCAAGAAAGUAACCUUUAUUACACACAUAUAUAUAAUAUAAUAUGUAUAUGUAUAUAUAUAACACAUGUAUAUAUAUACAUAUAUGUAUUAUAUAUGUAUAUUUUUUUUCACAAACUUCAGUUUCCUCCUCUAUCGAGUAAGUAUAAUAGUAGAGCCAGGUAUCUGGUCACACCUGAAAUCCCAACUAUUCAGGAGGCUGAGGCAGAAGGAGCAGAAAUUUGAGGCCAGCCUGAGUGAGACCCUGUCUCAAAAGAAAAAUAAAAAGGGUUGGGAAUGUAGCUCGGUAGUAGAAACUAGCCCAGCAUGUAUGAACCAUUAGGUAAAAUUUCCAGUAUCCCCCCACAAAAAAAAAAGGAUACAAUAAUAGAGACUUCAUGAAGGUUUUUUAAAGGAUUAUGUGGGUUAAUUCACAUGAAGCACAAUAGUGUCUGGAACAUAGGAGGCACAAAGUAAAUAUUGGCUGGUAUUAGUAGUGUUAUUAUUAUAUUUUUAGAAUAUUUAAGCUGCUCUUCUUCUCAUAGGUAGAAGAGCUCUGCAGUGGCUUUACAGUGCAGGCAGGAGAGGACAGGCUUUGCUGAAACUCUAGUUAUAUUCUUAGUGCCAGUUUACACUUUCUUUCAAGAGGAAAGAAUAUAAAAGAAACAGAAGAAACAAACUCUGUCCCCAGCCCUCAUUCUUUCAAAUAACUGUGAAUUUUAAUAGAUUUCAACAUCUAAGCCUUUUAGAAUUUGUCCAAAUAUAAAAAUUCUUAGGUGAGAUUUCAGUAAUUGUAACCCAUUCAUUUGUUCUUGAUUAUAGGCAAACAUCUUGAUAUAAAAUAAAGAACAUCCCUAAAAAGUUGAGCUUAAAUUAAAUUUUGGUCAAAGAUCUCAGUAUAAUAAGGCAAUAACUCUUAGAAAAAGAGUUUGGCCCUUUUUUAAUGUCUUCCUUGAGUGACCCUGAGGCCUCAGUUGGCUGAUAGGAGUACAGUGAUGCUGUAGCCAAGUAUAUUAAGAUUACUAAUUAAUAUUGAGACGGCUAUAGCUUAGAGCUGAGAUAAAGGAAUUCUAACUCCUUUUGUCUUUGGUCUUCAAACUAGAGUUUCCAUUCCUUGUACCGGUCAGUUAUUGGCCUCUGUUUCAUUCUCAUUUAUUUUUCAUUCUCUGCCUAGUUUUUUUUCUGAAGCAGAAACACAAAUGGAACCUAUUUUCCCAAAUGGUUGUUUAUAUCCAGUUUUGAUUUGGACAGCCAAAUGGCCUCUCUGCAUGGUCCACAUCAUUCUUGCCUUUCUUGUUCACAGCUGCACAGUUCUCUUGGCACAUUGAAUAGUCCUGGGGAGGCAUGAUGUCCCAUAGCUGUCUGUGGCAGGCUGCUUUUGCCUUGUUAGGCAAUGUAAGUGCUUGCUGUACCACUUUGUAAUUUGUGUCACUUGAAUACAAGUGGGAAGACUUUAGGCGAAUUUUCAGAGAAAAAAUAUAAAACAAAGUCUUUGAAAAUGUGAGAACAUAAUACAUGCUUAGCAGAUAGCAUUGUCAUUGGUGAUUUGUAUAUAAUUAUUAUUCUGGUUUAGGUGGUACUUAAGUUCUUUGUCCGGGAUGAGAAGAUUCAUUUGUAUACAUCAUCAUUACCCUUCCUGACAUGUGCUUUGGUGACAUUAAUCUGUGUUUUAUUUCCUGCAGCAGUAAUGAUGGGGUUGCCUUCCGUGGCUUUAUUAUGUUGUCAUGUGUUUUUUUUUUUUCUCAGCGAUCAUUCUCGAAAUACAAAAGAAAUAUCUCAUGUGGGGAUAAACUCCAAAAUAGCUGACAUUUAACAGUCAUGCUGGCAAGCAUCUAGUUUUCUUCCACUUCAUUCUUUUUUCCUGUCAAGCUGAGUCCUGGGGAAUUAUUGACUGUGGUCAGACUGAUAGUUGUUUGUAAUUUUAUGACAGAAAACAUUUCCAAGGUGGAGGUUGUUUCUAAAGACUAGAUAGCUUGCACAGGGGUAGGCUGGACGGGACAUCAAUUCACACCUGCAAAUGAUUAACUGAUUUGAGGGAAGCUUGAGGGUGGGGGAAGAGUGAAUUGCUAGGUUACUCUGCUAAAGGUGCAGUCGGUGGCCUUUAUAGUUGUUGGUCAAAUUCUAAACCUGAUGAUAGAAGUCCAAAUGGGAAAAAAGUGUACCAGGCUCUGUUUGAAGGACAGCAGGGAUUAGUUUAGCAGUAGAGAUCUAGUCAUAGAAUUUUAAAGCUAUAGUUUAAAAGAAAAAAGUUAUCUUCAAUCACUUUUAUUUGCAUUUUUGCAAUAGCAGAAUGAACUAUGUGGGCAUGGCAUCCAUAAACAGAAUAUUGGCAUAUGAUGACAAUCAGGGCUAUACUUUGUACUUUACUUCAAUGGGCUCUGGUAACAGCCGCAUAUACAAAACACAUUAAAGACAGGGGAUGAUGACUGAAAUCGACCUGUAUUGUUUAUUAAUUUGUGAGGUGUUUUAAUAAAGCCAGUCUCCAGGGCAGAAUCAAUCUGUGAAACCACUGUAUAUUGCCUAUGUUCCUGUUAAGGCUUUUAACACAUUACUUUACAGUUGUGUGUUUCCCUGUCUGUGUCCUUCAAAUAAAUGUGAGUUCUGGAGGGCAGAGAUCUUGCCUCAUUUCUCUCUGAUAACCCAGCGUUAGCACAGAAUGGUACUAGUAGAAUUUAGUAAAUUGAAUUGAAAUGAAUGUCUCAUCUAUAUUCUGAAGGAUUUAAGCAGAUGUUUGGUUAUGAAUUUUAAAUUAUAGAAUACACACUGUAAAAUUAAAAAUAAGAGGAAAGUAUGAAAGGAGAUGAUAGGAAAUGAAUACUACAGACAUACCUCAAGCCUCUGCCCCUGGCCCUUCCCUGUCAGCUCCUUGACUGAGCUGUUGGGGCUUUGGCCCUCAUAGCCACUCUGACCUGGGGAAAUGAAAUCAUUGUCAAAGGUGUAUAGCAGGACUCCUCCUCCAAGCCAGGUAAAUUGCCUGCCUUCACAAUCUCCUUGUUGGCUGUUAUACCUUGACACAUGAUAUCAAGUAAAGCUCACACUAAGCAAGCAAAAAGUUUCCCCAAGUUCAGAAAAACCUGUAUCUCAAAGUAGACUGUGAUCAUGGAAAGAGCAAAAACAUGGUGACCUAAUUUUGACAUUUUUUUAGUUCUUUAUAUGCCAGGUAAUAAGCUAAGUGUAAUACCAAUAUUAUCUCACUUUUUUUCUUAACCACCCUAUAGGGUAGGUAAUGUUAGCUUCCUUUUAUAGAUGAGGAAAUGAGACAGAAAUAACUUGCCCAAGGUCAAGAUAUUGCUGGGGGGAGCCAGGAUCAGCUCAGACAAUUUGGCUACAGAAUUGACACCCUUUUUGUUCUAUCACGUUUGCUAACUUGAGGACUUCUAGGCACAGAAUUCCUUCAAAACUAAGCUUAUAAACACUGAAGUCCUAGCAAUUGCUGGUUCAAAACCUCUGUUUCCACUGAGCCCUGCUAUCUACUAGAUGGCAAAGGAAAGACAGAGUAAACCCAACACACCUGUCCUGAGUAGCUUUCCACUGAGUAGGGAGAUUGUAUGGGGCAGAGUUACCUGGUGUCAUAGGAGAGGCUCAAUCUCAGUACAGUAGGGAUCAGUGAAAAGCAGAGCUCACAUUUAGAUGAGAAGGGAGAUAAGACUGUGGAGACUGGAACCUUGGAGAAGGGAUUUGAAGGACCGGUACUGCUGAGGGUGAGUCAGUAGGGGCUACAUCUUAGGUACAAGGAAAAAGUCAGCAGCAAUAUUUAAAUAAGACGGAGCAAAGGGCUUAAUGGAGGAAGCUAUACACAACAAUGGCGGAUGUGGGUUUGGAUGCAAGACAAAGAUGUGUGUGCUUAAUUUAGACGAGGGAGAAUCCACAGAAAAUUUUGAAUAGGGAAAUAAAUGCUUUAAAAUGAAGGAAGGACAGAAUAGGAAUAAGGAUCUAACCCAGGGCUGUCAAGGGGUUAGGAAUAGGGUGGAGACAAUCUAAGAGAAAAAUAAGAGAUAAAUAUAAAUGACUGAUUAAAUUCAUGAAGUACCAACACAAGAAGAGAGACUGGACUGGGGCUGUAGCUUAGUGGCAGAAUACUUGCCUAGUAUGUGUGAGGGACCGGGUCUAAUCCACAGAACACAUUUAAAAAAAUAAAUAAAUAAAGGCAUGCUGUCCAUCUUCAAUUAUAAAAAUAUUUUUUUAAAAAGAUAGACCAUUUUCCAGUUGUGGAUUAUGCAUUAAUGAAUCUGAAGAAAGUGAAGUGGUAUUCCAUGCCAUCUUACAAUGGGUGGUUAUUUGGGUGAUCUUUAGAUCUCAAAGUUUUUAUAAAAUUUCACAACCUGACAUCUGGCCACAGUCAUAAAAAUGCCCCAGGCUACCUCCAGGAGCAAAAAGGAUGCAGAAAAAACAUUGAAAUAUGUUUGAAAUUAAACAAAUGUACAGAAUACUUUUAGUGUGUAAGCUUCAUUGUAUAUGCAUUUUUAUCCCAAAUUAAUUUCAAAAAACUCAUCUAUUUUCUUUCUUUCUGGUACUUCCAAACCAAGUACAUUUUGGAAAUGUAUUAUUUUCACAGAUCUCAUAAAUUUUCUAUUUUAUUCCUACAAUAAAAUAAAUGGGAAAGUUUUAUUUAGUUUCUAGGUUUGAGGAGAAAUAAUAGAAUUUUUAUGCAUCAAAGAGCAUUUUUUCAUUUCUUAGUAUUGUUUUAGGAAUUUAACAACAAAAAGACAAAUGUAAAGCAAUUAGAAAAGAUCAUGUGCAUAUCAGACUCGGGUUGAUUUGAUUAUUUUUGAACUGAUUUUUUAAUAGGUCACAUGGUUAAUGGGCAGGCUCUGAGGGCAGAGAAGGCUUGGGUUCAAAUCCCAGGUCUGCCCCUUAUUAAUUCUGUGACCUCAGUCAAGUUCUUAGUUAACCUUCAUAACCUCAGUUAUUAUCUGGUGAUAAUAAAUAUAUCAUGUGAUAUUAAGACUUUACAUACAAGAUGAAGUACGAUAAUGCAUAGUGCCUAGCUAUAAGAGCUCAAUAAAGCUUAACCAUCUCCACUACUACCAUGUUGCCAUCACCCACUAUCACCCCUACCAUCAUCAUUGCCACUAUUACUGAGGCUCUAAUUGCUGGCUUAAUAUCUACAAUAAAAAUGGUGAUGUAAAAACCAGGUACUUAUCAGAAAAAAAGCUUCUUAUCAAAUGAAAACUUUCCGCACUAAUUCUAAUAUCCAAGUCAGUGGAACACUGUGUCCUAGCCAGAAUUUUCUAGAGACUAGCCUAAAGCAAGGAAUGAACUACUAAUAAUUUAUUAGGCAUAUACAAAUCCAGGUCAACAAGGUGAGGAAAAAGGGAAGGGACAAGUGUUGCACGAUUGCACUUAUGAAAGCUGUAUAACUCAUAGGCACACAAAUUAAACCAGUGGGUUGCCAAGGGACUGGAGCAGGGGAAAUAAGUAGUCGGUUUUCAGUGGGCAUGGAGUUUUAGUUUUGCAAGAUGAAAACAUUCUAGAGGUCUGUCCCACAACAUUGGCAACAAUGUGAAUAUACCCAGCAGUCUUGGACUGUACACUUACAUAUGGUUAACAUGGGGAAGAUACGUGUUAUGUGUGUUUUACCACAAUUUUUAAAAGGUGGGGAGAAGGAGUCAAGGGAAGAAGUAAAGAGUGGGAGGUGAUGGUUCCAGAGCCGGUUUUACUGCUUCAUCGGGUCACCAAGGAACAUGGCAAUUCCUUGGCAACUGCAUCCAUUUGCCAUGUGGAAAAUUUCUGGAUAGUUUGGGAAAAAAUAACUGUGCUUCAGAGCAGUGCCUAAGACAGGGCGAGGACACUUUCUGCUCAGCUUCCUCCUGUCUCUUGGGUCAGAAUUUAUUCCUCAGAGAGUUAAUUCUGCCACAUUUCUGAGAUUCACUGGGCCUCCCCAGCUGUUAUGUGGGAUGCCAGCUCUCACAUCUAUGAACAGCAGGGGAAGCCAGAAACUCCAGGUGGGUGACUGAUAGGUCCAAUUGCCCAGCAGCAGCUGCAAGGGAAAAUUCAACAUUCCCAGAGCAGGUGAUGCUAGUGGUGGAAACUUAGCCCCCUAGUGGGAAGAAGCAUGGCCAAGGGAAUAUGAAGAUGUACAUAGAUUUCUGUUUGAUACACACCACUAUUCCUUUAAAAAAAAAUUUUUUUUUGUAGUUGUAGAUGGACAGAAUGCCUUUAUUUUAUUUCUUUUUAUGUGGUGCUAAGGAUCGAACCCAGUGCCUCACACAUGCUAGCAAAGUGCUCUGCCACUGAGCUGUAGCUGCAGCCCACCAUUGUUCCUUUUUUGUGGUGAUAGAGAAUCAUUACUAUCAUAAUCUACCUUUUAUUUUUUUCUGAUAUAAAAGCACUGCUGUUAGUCAUGGUGCUUCCCAUUAGAAAAUACUGAGUGGUUAUUACUUGUCAGAGCAUGAUUUUAAGUUUGUUCUUAACUGUCUUUGCCCUGUUUGUCUCUAGAAAGAAAAUUUUAUCAGCUCUAGCUAAAUUGUCCUCACACAAUGCAUUGAGAGAAAGCAAUUGUAGGAGAUUUCAUAUUUCUAAAAAAUAUUAAAGGCUUAGUUUUUCAUAGCCUUUCAAUGUAUUCUAGGAAGAAUCAUUGCAAUGUGCUCUCAAUUCCUACUCUAGGUUUUUGGGGUUUUUUUAAUAGGACAAAAUCUUGGUGAAGUUUAUGGAUUCUAUUUUGCUUUCUUUUGUCUUACUGCAAUCAUUACUAUGUUUGGAAAAUCAGAUCAGUCAACAUUUCUUGGGAAAAAAAUAACAAUGUAUUGACAUUUUAGAAAAUGUGAAAAAUAUACUUGUUUGCCUCUUCAUAAAUGGUAGCAUAGUUUUUCAUGUAGGGAAAUGAAUUUUGUCUCAUACCUGCAGACCACAUUCCUGUGACAACUGAGUAGAUGAAAGGGUGUCAGAAUGAGGCAGACAGAAUCAGGGAGGAUGCCUUCCCCAAGUCCUGGGAGACAGAAUUACUUCCAGGCACAGCUGGGCUUUCUACCCUUAGUACCUUCUACCCUCUACUGCCAUUUCCCCUACAUGAAGAUGAGGAUUCCCUCAGAAUGAUUUUGGUUUGAAAAGUCAAGAGAAUUCUACAUUAUUUUACUUAUUCUGGAAUAAUGACAUAUAAACCUGGGCAUUAAAGGUCAGUGGUUUAGACAAUAUUGUGCACUCAGAUCUCUUGAACUAUGUUUCAUUGCUGUGUCCAAAAUACCUAAUGAUUUAGAGGAGGAAAGUGUAUUUUGACUCACGGUGUCAGAGGUUCAGUCCAUGGUUGACCAACUUCACUUCUCUGGGCCUCAGGUAAAGGCAGAACAUCAUGGUAGAAGGCAUGACAGAGGAAAGCUGUUUGCCUCAUGUCAUCCAGAAAGCAGAGAGAGCAAGCAAAUGAGCCACAGAGAAGACAAAACCUUCCAAGACAUGCCCCAGUGACAUGUUUCCUCCAGCCAUGUCCUCCCUAGCCACCCAGUUAGUCCAUUCAAAUUAUUAUCAAAUGGAUUAAUUCACCAAUUAGGUCAUAGCUCUUAUAAUCUAAUCAUUUUGUCUCUGAACAAUUUUUGUGUUAACACAGGAGCUUUUAACAGAUAACUCAUAUUCAAACUGUAACACGCUCCUACCCUGAAUACGUAGUAUGGUGACAGCUUUCUCUCUCUUGCUGGGAGUUUUGAUGGGCCAUAAAAACUGCACUGGGAUAGAACAUUUUGUCUCACUAUCUACACCAGGGCUUAAUUCAGUAGUAUUCUAUGUGUGCAUGUGUAGCUAUUCCCUUACAUAUAAUACCUAGGAAACUCUCCAGUGUGAUUAUGCACCUUGGGAAAGGAAGCAGAAACAUAAUACUUAUGAAUGUCUCAUGAGCAUAUGGUAUUGUUUCAAUUUUUGAUAUUCUAGAAUACAAUUUGAAUCUCAGAAUAUUUUCAGUUUUACGUUAACAUUUGUUUUUCAGAUUCUUUUUUUAAAAAAAUUCUUUGCAGCUAGAGUAUUAUUGGAUGAACACCAGAUGUUUACAUCCAUCAGUUUUUUGGUUUUUUUUUGUCCAAAGUAAAAAUAAAACUAUUCUGAAAAUUCUCAACAGACAAUAAUUAUUUACCAGAAAGUUGUCACGUAAGCUCUAAGGAGCUAUUAGGAGUCAGAGUAAGAGGAGAGGCAUUUAUGGUGGUUGGAUUUGAUGAUCUAUAUUUUUAAACAUCAGAAAGAGGAAGAAAAAACAAACCAUGUUUAUUCAAGGAAAUAGUCUAGGCAUGGUAUUCAAAUGUAAGUUGAGUGCAUUGCUGCACCAACAGUAAGUAGUAUUUUUUCACUCACCAUAAAAAAGAAAAAAAAAUGUUUUCGCUCAUGUUCUGAGUAAAAAUCAGGCAUAAGCUUCCUAUUAAGUUAAUAUAACUUUUUCAAAUACUGUUAAUCAAAAACUUUCAGUAAGCAUUCUUUGAAUACCUACUGUGGCGAGGUGUUUAAGAUUCACAGAUGACUAAAAGUGUCUACCCUUGGGUUUCUCACAAGCUAGUAAAUGAUUUAAACAGCAAUAAAUAAUAAAUAUACAUAAUAAAUGCUCUAGGAACACAAUGAAAAGGGUGAUUAAUUCUGCCUGAGGGGGUGGAAGAGAUUGCAGAGGAGAAAACUUUGAUUUAUAACUAAAAGAUAAGUGGACUUAUUCCUUAAGGUAAAUAAUGCUAGCUGCUAUAAAAGAUGCACUCCCAAAUAUCAGUGACAUAAUGGUUGGCUUAUUUCUUAGUUACUGCACAGGUCAAUAGCCAAAGCAGAUCAGUUGUGGUGGAAGGUGACUUCCAGAGUGAUUCAGAGAUCUUAGGUUCCUCCCACUGAUACUUUACCUUCUGCCAGAUCUUUGGAUGAGAAUUUAUAUAGGUGAGAUCAAAAAGUAGCCCCCAGCACUUCCAAUUAUAUUCUGGAAUCCAGACAACAUGGUUACAUCUAACUGCAAUGGUGGUGAGAAAAUAUAUUGUAGCCAUGUGCCCCAGUACAAAAGGAGAACAUAGAUAUUAGAUAUUAGAAUACUGGUUACCUUGCUAUAAUGAAAUUAUUUUACAUUGGAAAUAGGUUUGGAUGGAAAUAUGAACUAAAAAGAAGAACACGAAGGAGUUUGAGAUGGAGGGAAUAUUCUCUUUUGGCUAGAGAGCACAGCAUGGUGUGCAUGGGCUGGUCAAUGGGAAAUAAUACUAGAAAGGUAGUUCAGAGAUGGAUUAUAAAAGACCUUGAAAACCUUACUGAGAAGUUUCUAUUAGUAUUAUAAUGCUUUACUGUUGCUUUAGUAUUAUAAGUAAAUAUUAAUUGACCAAUUUGCUUGGAGUCAGAGUCAGAGGAGAGGCAUUUAUGGUGGUUGGAUUUGAUGAUCUGUAUUUUUAAUUUAUUAUAAAUAUAUUUAUAAUUUAUUUUUGAAGUAGUUGUUACAUUUAUCAGUUCAAAUCUGAGUCAUUUUUUUUAAUAAAACCUUUUAAAAAUUUUAAGUCUCUUUCUUCAGAGUAAGAUUAUAAUAUUCCUUUUUUCUUUUUUUGGUACUGGAGAUUGGUUGAACCCAGAGGUGUUUUUAUUCUAUCUUUUAAAAUUUUUUUAGUUGUCAAUGGACCUUUAUUUUAUUUAUUUAUAUGUGGUGCUGAAGAUCAAACCCAGGGCCUCACACAUUCUAGGCAAGCACUCUACCACUGAGCCAUAACCCCAGCCCAUGCUUUUUAUUCUUUAUUUGGAAACAGGAUCUUACUAAGUUGCUUAGGGCCUUGCUAAGUUGCUGAUGCUAUCCUCAAACCUGUGAUCCUCCUGCCUCAGCUUCCUCAGUCACUGGGAUUACAGGCAGGCACCACCAUCCCAGGCUAAGAUUAUAAUCUUUGUGAAGGUAUGCAUCACCUUCAUACUUUAUUUCCCUUCAGUUUCCCUCAAAGCCGAGGUACAGAGGUACGCAGUCAGUGUUUAAUUAACAGCUGAUAUCUAAAUAUCAGCUAUAUAGCUAUUAUUUAAAUAGGAAUAAGAAGGGGUUGUGGUUGUAGCUCAGUGGUGGAGCACUUGCCUCGCAUGUGUGAGGCACUGGGUUCGAUCCUCAGCACCACAUAAAAAUAAAUAAAUAGGUGUAAGAAAGCAAUGUCACUAACCUAUGAAACUAGCUAAACAAUUCACUUCAUAUUAUUGUCUAAUCACUUAUGUUAAUUGCCUAUACACACAAGGCUUUGAAUUGGAUGUUGUAGUGAAAACAAAUCCUUUUUCUCUAGGUAUUUAGGAUUGCAAAUAAAUAAAAUCUAUGACUGUCCUGGAAAACAGUGAUAUUUAGGGGAAGACUCUAAUCAUUUUUGUAUUAGAAUGUGUUUGGUUUAAGUUAUUAUAAAACUAAAUGUCAUUUUAUGAUUCAAGAUAGAAAUCAUUUAAAAAUUCCUAAGAAUUUAGUCUCCUUAAAAAAAGAUUAAUGGAACUUUCAGAUGGAGGAAUAUGCAGGUGUUUGAUAAUAUUUGAAACCCAAAUCAGUAUAUUUUUAUUCCAUGUCAUGGUCCUUAGCUUCCAUUGUAUCUUAAAUUGAAACUUACAACUAUAAUAAAUUGUAAUGUCAAGCUUUUCCAUAGAUGGUAAUGUGGGUAACUAUUUCCUCUAUGAGCAUCAUUUUCAUUAGUGAUUUGUUGAAAAAUUAAGGGGCUACUUGUGAAUGACAAUCUGCUAUUCUUUAUGCAUGUCUAUUAGGUGGGUCUCUUGAAUCUGUGGCUUUCUUGCAUUAUUAAUAGGAACUCAUCAUGACUCUGUGCUUUGCUUUUAUUUGAAAUUGAAGCAGGGUUAUAGAAGUCACUUUAGAUUUCACUUCGCACCAUUGGAUCAUAAUACAGAUGUCAAGCUUUGUGAUACAUGUUGUCAGAACCUUCAUAUUAUGUGUGAAAUCUAAAAGCAAAAUUGCCAAGUUUCUAAACGAGGUAAAUUUAUAUGAAAUUUAAAUAUUUAUUUUAACUAAACAAACCCUGAAAUAUUUCUCACUGGGGCUAGGGAAAGCACCAUCUUAAAUCUAUAUUCUUAAUUAAUUCAAUCAUGGAGCAUCUGCCUAAGGACCUAUCAUUAAUACCAAGGAGAGGCUCUAUCUUUGUCCGUGAGGAGCUCACAGCUCUAGUGAAAGAAAACUCUAAGGAGGAUGUGGCUUUCAACCAGGUUAGAAUUUAGCUGAGCAAAGACUUCAGUAAUUGCUCCCUUGGCUCUACUCAGCUCUUCUCGAAGAAAGAAUCUAGCAUAUUCUUUUACCUUUAAUUUCUAAAGGGUGUGCACUAGGUUGGGGGGGUUGGGUGGGUACAGAAUGCAGAAGAGAGAAUAGUUUUCUAUUAUGGUGGUUACUUCUCUUCCACCUGCACUGUGAUCAUCUGUCAGCAUCCUCAGUUUCUCUAGUCAUUUGAGUCCUCUGUGCACCUUAGUUCUCGUAAUCUUCUCUUCUUCUUUUCCUCUCCUUUACAUGUCGAGCUGAUGAAGGAAAAAUUGCUCAGUGGUGGAAUAUAAAAUGCUGUUGAGGCAACCUCUCCAAUGUCCCAAAUUUAAGGUCUGAUAAUAAGAACUCUGGAGAGUUCCACAAACUGUAUCUAUAAUUCUUUCUCAGUUUCUCACUUGGAUAGUAUUUUUAUUUUAACUUAAAGCAUUCUUCUAAAAAAAAUCAAUGCUACCCUUCCAGAAGCAGACUACUAUAAUAAAUAUAUGAAGAUGAAAGAGAAUAAAGUUAUAGCAACCUUAGAAUAUUUUAGUCUUUAUUGGUUUAAAUCAAUCUUCCCAUUACUUUAGGAGAUGAAUUAUAGUUCAUUGCCUAUGCUGUUUUAAUGAUCACAUGUAAAAGAUUCAUUUUAAAUUCUCUUUGAUAUCUGCAGUUUUAUGACUUAACCCCUUUUUCACUAGCCUUUUGUUUACUCUAGGAAGCUAUUGCUGUUAGAAUGCCUCAUUUGAGACUGAUGUUAGAAUUGUUUUUUCUUUAAUGAUGUGAAUAUAUUUUGGCCCUUUGCUGUGAUUGGAUGGACAUAUUUUAUGUUAUUAUUCAUAAGCAGCUGUAUGCUCUUUGAACCGUGCAGAGAGUGUCAAACGGAGGUUGACCCCAUUGCUUCUGGGUACACUGGAUGGAACCAGCAGGUAUAGAGAAUGAGUGGCCUCCUUCCUCUGUGUGUGAGAUGACACUGGAGCUCAGCACCUGCAGGACCUGGCUUCCUCUCCUUAACACGCAGACGAAAGCUCUGGGUUCUUGGCUUUCCCUGACAGUUCAUAUGAACAGUUGGCCCCUCUCUGAGGCUGCCUGUCACUAAGCACUGACAAACUGCCUCCUGUACUGGAGAAUAAGGCCCUCUGCUGUGACUCAGACUCACUGCACAGCAGUAGACCCUGCCCAGUGCACUUCUCUGUGAAAUGAUAGAAGUACUGGGGACCUUUGGCUUCCAUAAAUUUUUCUACUGAAGCCCAUUUAACUCUCUCCAGGGUGUGUUGUAGAACAUGCCCCAAACCCUAGUGCUUGAUAGGUGGAAUUCACCUGGUGUGACAGCACUGGGCAAAGGAAAGAAGCCAGUGUAGUCACCCAUUAGAGAGAAGGAAAGGCCCGCAUGAAUCCUGCGAUAUGCGUUCCUAACGGGUACAGGGUGGAAGGAGUUGGCUCUAGUGUCUUGGAACUGAGUUGGUGGAGGUAGUGGAAUCAGUAUGGGAGGCCCUUCUGGUUCUUGGCUUACAAACUAAGAAGUAAGAAAUAAGAAGAGGAUGAGAAAGGGUAAUCUGUUGAUAUAAACUGCUUUUAUGUUAAUUAAUACCUACAUUAAGUAGAGAUAUAUUUCUCAGACAUCCAUGUAAACACAUGCAGUCCACCAUGACAGGGGCCCAUGCUCCUUCUAUCCUGUUGCUCUGUCACCCACAGGGCAUUUUCCUUACCCAUGAGGUCUCACCACUAUGAUAUCUACAUUUCAGCCAACAGGAAGGAUGAAGAGGGGGUACUUUCAGAAAAUGUUCACAUCAGUUCUGCUUAGAUUCCCCUUUGCAGGGACAGCUGGGAAAUGAAGUCAUCCCCACUUAUUCCCAGGUAGUAAACCUGCCAUAUUACCCUACAGUAAGUCCGACUACUAGAUACUGGCUGGAAGAAACAUUACAGUUUUACAAAAUCAACAUUUAAGAAGAACCAGUAAAACACAGCAGAAAAUAUAUAAAUUAUCUGCAGACAACUCAAUCAGAUAAUAGAAAACCCUUCUCAAUCAGAUAAUAGAAAAACCUUCAUGAGUUCACUUUUAGAUAAGCCAUUGCCUAAUAUCCAGCUGAGAAAAGGCAAGUGGUUUGGGUAAGCAAUAAGGUAAGGAUCAUAGAAAAUUCAGUUGGUUGCUUUCAUAAUAUGGAAAAGCAAGUGGAUUAAUAAAUGGUGUCAUCCAUUCAACUUUUAAUCUAUGCCUUGUAGAUACCAGAUAUUGUUUUUGUUCUGGAGUAGCUCCCAUUCUAAAGGUAGAUAAAUAUGUAAUUAGAAGAUUAUAAUGAAUAUAUCAGGUCAAAUUCGGGGUUCUAUAAAAUAAAAUAGAAUGGAAAGAAUAGAUACUAGUAUACAACUAUGAGUCUCUGAUAUAGUGGUAUGUUAAUUAAUUUACUCAACAAACAUUUUUAGUGUCUAGUUGAUUUUAUUCCUGCUUAGGGUGCUGUUGUCUGUCUGUCUGUCUAUCUAUCAAUCUAUUGAAGAGUCUGGGAUUUAUCCAUACAAGGUCUCUAAAGAUGGUCACCCUUGGGAAUGGAUGUAUUCCUCUACAGCACAGAUCUUUUGUAGAAUGAAAGUAUUAUUCUUGGUAUUUAAAAAAAUACUUUAAAAAUUGUAGUAGCAAACAAAUUAGAGUCUAGAGUAUGAAAAGACUUAGGAACAUCUGAAUCAGAAAAAAAAAAUCCUAAGAAAAGUUAAGACAAGAAAUAACAGAUAGUGGGCUAAGAGCUGGUUACUCAUCAUUGUAAUGGGAAGUUUUCUGCUCAACCAAGAUGCAAUUGGACAUAAGUCUCUCUGGAUCCUUAAAACACAUCCUAAGGCUGUUAAGUAUCUAAGCUGUUCUUCAAACAGCUUGUGUAUGGAGAACUCUAUAGGGGCCAUGUGAUAGAACUUUGGGAUUAGUGCUGUCUGCAUGGGGAGACGAAGGAAUGUGUGGCUACCAGUUAGUGAAAGAUAAAAGGUAUCCAGGCAAGAAUAAAUACCGUGGGAGAUGUGAGAUGUAGGGAUUACUAUGACCCUUAUUUUACAGAUGAGAAAACUGAGCCCAGAGAGUUAAUUCUGACUUCUAGGGUUGCACAGCGGUGUAUGGUGAUGCCAGGACUUGCUCCCAGGCUGUCCAGCUCUACAGUCUUCACACACAUAAUUAAUAUUGGUGGUUUAGAACUGUGAAGGUAUAUGAUAAGAAUGCAGGAUGAAAGCCACAUAUACGGGCUGGGGUUAUGGCUCAGAGAUAGAGUGCUUGCCUAGCAUGUUUGAGGCACUGGGUUCGAUCCUCAGCACCACAUAAAUAUAAAAUAAAGAUAUUGUGUCCACCUAUAUCUAAAAAAUAAAUAUUAAAAAUACUACAUAUACUUAGUAUACUUCCACAAAUACUUUAAAUCAUCUCUAUAAUCUUAUAAUACUCAAUACAGUGUAAAUGCUGUAUUAUGGAAGGAAUAAUGACCAGGAUAAAAAAAAAAGUCUGUUCAAUGCAGAUGCAGUUAUUUUUCAAAUAUUUUCAAUCUUUGGUUGGUUGAAUCUAUGAAUGAAGUUGCAGAGGGCUGACUGUAUACCUGAAUUUUUUAUUUGCUUACUCUCUGUUUUAUAAUUUUUGAACUUUUAUUGAAUGUGAAUUAUAGUCUGUUUUUUGUUCUCUUUGCAGUUAAACAAAAAUCAGAUAUUUCUUGAGUAUUAUUAAGCCAGACACUGGACUUUUCAUGUAGUCCUCAAGAAAGCCCUGGGGAAAAACUGGGAAGCACGUUGCAGGCAUUCUCCCAAUUUGUCAGAAGCAAAGAAAAGCAUGUAGGUGGAGAGCUGAAUGCCAACUUUCAGCCCAAGGACCAGAAGCCUUCCAUUUUUCCUGUUGGAUGUUCUUAACAUGUGGUUAUUACCUGGGCCCCCAACAGAGCUGCAGAGCUACAGCUACCUCAUCUAGGUCCCAAGGGAAGAAGAAGGUAAGAGGAAGAGUUACAUCCUAGCUAAGUCAGCCCUCUGUUUUAAGGAGCUUUCCCAGAAAUCCAUCCCAAAAUGUUCACUUUCAUCUUGUUAGCCAGAAUUUAGUCACAUAGAAAUAUGUAGUUAAAUCAUUUAGAAAUAUAUAGUUUAUCCACUGAGGAUAUUGCUAUUUCUCUAAAAUAUCAGUGUUCCACAUUAAGGAAGAAGGAGAGAAGGGACAUUGGUUUGUCUAUUACCAGUCUUUGCCACAAAUGAAAAUUUAAAAAAAAAAACUAUAAAUGGUAGAUUUAUGUUUUCUCCAUAUUGUAUUACUUUUUACCAUAAAUAUAGUUGUACCUCCUUACCUGUGGGUUUCACUUCUGUGGAGUCCACCAACAUGGAUUAAAACUAUUUGAUGAAAAAAACCUGCAUCUCUACCGAGUAUAUACAGACUUUUUUCUUGUCAUUAUUCUCUAAACAACCAUUUACAUAGCAUUUGCAUUUUAUUAAGUAUUAUUAAGUAAGCUAGAGAUGGUUUAAAGUAUAUGGAAUGACUAUGUCGGUUAUAGGAAAAUACUAUGCCAUUUUAUAUAAGGGACUGAAGCAUCUGAAGAUUUGGGUGUCUUAUGAAGAUCCUGGAACCAACCUUCAUGGAUACCAAGGAAGGACUGUGCUUAUUUAUUCAGUAUUUAAGUAAUCAGAAAGUUGUAAUUUUUUUCUUGUUGGGAGCAGAUUUACUCUUCAUCACGAUAGGAUCUAGGCCCAGCACAAUUCUUUUUUUUAAUAUUUAUUUUUCAGUUUUUGGUGGACACAACAUCUUUAUUUUACUUUUAUGUGGUGCUGAGGAUCAAACAUGCCAGCGAGCGCACUACCUCUUGAGCCACAUACCCAGCCCUCCAGCACAAUUUUUUAAGGACUCUUCUGAAUCAUCAAAUAUACCAUUAGAAAGUAUCAUUUUCAUGUGACUUUAAUGUAUUAACUUAUUUGAUAUUGGGCCAUUUGAUUAUGGUGCUUUGGAUACCAGCUAUAAGGAAUGUUUCUUAUCGACAUAUUUCUCAAUUUUUUGAAUUAAAGCAGAUUUCUUACAAACCUACAAUCUGGUACAGAUGUACUUGAAAUAUUAAGAGUCAGGUCCUUGACACAUCAUGUGUACUAAACAAAAUCAAUGAUGCCUUUAUUACUAGGCCACCACAGACCACUUAAUCCACUCAGUAUGAAGAAUUCUUUCAUGAUUUUUUUUAUUAUGGUAAAAUGUAUAUAUCCUGAAACUUUUCAUUUUAACCAUUUUCCAUGUACAGUUCAGAACCAUAACUGUCUUCCUAUUAUGCAUUGAUAUCAUGAGUACCCCAAAAGCUUCUAUGAAAGACAAUGCAAAAAUGGUCAGAGGUGAAUUGAUUAGAUUGUGGGAGGUAGGACCUAACUGGUGCAUUAAUCCACUUGAAUGAAUUGAGUGGUAACUGUAGGUGGGUUAUGUGUGGCUGGAGGAAUUAGUUCACUGGGGGUAUGCCUUUUGGGUUAAUAUUUUGUCCCUGGUAAAUAGAGCUUUGUCUCUGCUUCCUGGCUGUCAGGAGGUGAACAGCUUUCCUCUGCCACACCCUUUUGCCAUGUUUUUCUGCCUCACCUCAGGCCUAGAGCAACAUGGUUGGCCGACUAUGGGCUGAACCUCUGAAACCAUGAGCCAAAAUAAACUUCUUCCUCUAAUGUGUACUUGUGAGGUAUUUUGGCCACAGUGACAAAAAGCUGACUACCACAUGAUUGUUGUGCAACCCCUCAUGGUUUUAGAAUGUAUCUGUUAUGAUCUGUUUCUUUUCUUGCCUACCUUUGUACUUGACUCCAAAUAGUGCUCCAUCAAGGUGUGUUCUUGCAAAUGGAGUUUCGAUAGCUAGUACUCAUUUUCCAUAUUUAUUUGUAAUUCCAAUGACUAAACAAGCAGAUAUUUUGUAAAUCACCAUAAACUGGUCUAAUUGGACAAGACAUUCCUUAUCAGGGCAUGCUCCUACCCACAACAGUGCACAAGUGAUCUUAUGCAGUUCUCGCACCUUCAUCCCACAGUCCUUAAGAGUAAAUGUAAGACAUGUGAAUGCCAAAUGGCAAAAAUCACUUAUGUGACAUGAAUAAUUUAGUAUCACUUUUGAGUCCAAUGUGUUAGAAUACCAGUUUAAUGAUAGUCCAAAAGUGUUUCUCAAUUUUAAUCUUUUUAAAGGUGAUUAUAACAAAGACCUUGUUUCUUUUUCUACUUCAUUCUGUUUUGUUUUAAUCUAUGAAACGGAUUAUUUUCUUCUUUAGUUAUCCAACGGUUCUCCUUAAAAUAAUGAAAUCCAACAGUAGAGAAAAUACCUAAUGAGAGCCCCCCAAGAAGAAGCACAUGUCUAGGAGAGCCCUGGGCUCCACGUGGCUCCAGAGCUGGGAGAGGAGUCUCUCAAUCUCCCUCUGUUACUCAACCAACAAAGAUAUAAAUGAUUUUAAUUUUUAUGUUAAUAAUCAUGCUUUUGACACUUGCUAAGCAUCUUUUCUUUCCAAGAUUACAGAAUAUUCUAUUUUGAAAUAAUGCCAUUAACUUCUCAGUGACAGGCAGGGCAAUCAAAGGUAGGAGAAGAGGAGGUAGGUGGUGAGGAGGGGGUAAAGAGAGAGAGAGAGAGAAGUGGCCUCUAUCCCUGCAUCUCAGCCCAACUCAAUGCUGUCUUCUGGCACCUUGCCCUGCAUUACUGGCACAGGAAAUAGCACAUAUGAGACACAUCUCUUCUUUGUAGAUGACUGUACUUGCAUUCUUGGGUUAGUGUUCCAGUUAGGCUCUGGGUUAAGAAAAAGAAUAUUAUAGGUUAACAACUUGUGUCUUCUUUGUGUGACCUACUUUGAAAAAAAAUGAGUGUGUAAUUGACAUAUUUUUUAAAUUCAAGCUCUUUUGGAUAGAUAAUUAUGACUUGUAAACUCAGGAGAUGGCUAUUGAUCAUUAAGUUUGUAACAGAACUUGUAAUUUGAUCUUAAAUAAUAAUGCAUUUUGCAGUCAUUAUUUUUGUUCCUAGAAUGUUUCAGUAAACUGCAUACACACAAAUCCAAAUAUUUGCAAGCAUUUCUUUAUUUAAAAGCACUACUAGCCUUCAGUGAUGGAUGUUUUAUAGUAGAAAUUCUGAGUGGUAAAAGUGUAUAUGAUGUUAGGAAGUAUUUGUAUGUAUAAGAUAAAAAUCAUUUGUACAGGAUGAAUGUAUUAGAAAGUUGAUUAAAAUUAAAUUACUAAAAGUAUAAUAAUUUCGUAGUUCAUCCAGUCAUUCCACAACUAUCCAGUGAUUAUGACAUAUGAGUCUGCUUUAUACUAAAUGUGAUUAAUAGAGGAGAGUUUUCUGAAUAUGCUUUUAAUUAGGAUUAAAAGAUAUUGAUAAGAUAGAGAAGAAGUAUAAAAAUAAGGGAACGUGUGUAUCUAGUUAUCUCCAAAAUGUUUUCCUUAAGACAUGUGUACUAAAGCAGGGAUUAAUUCUUGAGUCUUAUAAUCAGUGAGGUUUAAACUUGUAUCCUGGCUCACUUUCUGUCAUGACCACCUUUCAAUUGUGUGAAAAUUACCCAUUUCAAGUUUCUAUUUUAUAAAUUGGAAAAUAUAAUUGAGCUUCUUUUUAGAUUUAGUUUUGAAAAAGGAGUUAGUUAAAUAAGUAACUUUAAGUGCAUAGCAUUGUGCAAGGCAUAUAGAAAGUAUUCACUUUUUGCUCACUGUCUUCAUAUUUUCACUAUGAAAAAGGCAUAUACUUUUAUUGGGAAAAACUUCCAAUAAUCUACAUUAUUAUGUAUAUUCAAAAUAUUUCAUAUGUAGUGAAAGAUUAAUAUCAAUAUGAUUUUUCUUAAUAUACUUAGAUAAAGUUAAAUAUGACAGGGCAAAAGAUAACAUGUGCCUCUCUGCAUCAAAUUUAGACCAUUGGUACUAGCAAUCAAGAUUACCAUGUUUUUGUAUGAAGAAAACCUAAUUAACCCACAAAUCAUUUUUAAUUGACCACUGAGUUGUUUUGGAUAAUGGUAGCAAUAACUUGGACUUAGCAUUUUAUGAGCACGAAUGAAGAAAGGAAGGAAGGAAGGAGGGAAGGGAGGGGCUUACAGAUGUUGCCUUAGUGUUUUAUAUAUGCUGGCAUUUUGUGGGUUAAUGCUAUUAAUGUUUUGUUUAGGUCUCAAAAUGAAAUGCUAUUGUUUUAUUUCUGUAAAGUUCAUGUCUCACUUGCCAUAGUGAUUUGGGGCAGGGUUGUUUCUUACCUGUAUGUUGCAGUCUCAAAACAAUAAGAAUUGAGGCAGAGGCUACUGGUCCCCAAUACCCAUUUUUCCCUUCUUUAAUAAAAGAACCACUAGUUGGUCUUCCUUUCCUUUCCUUUCCUUCCUUCCUUCCUUCCUUCCUUCCUUCCUUCCUUCCUUCCUGUCCCCCUACCCUCCCCUACCCUCCCCUACCCUUCUCUUCCCUAC
This is a long non-coding RNA of Marmota monax (woodchuck), 24019 nucleotides long. RefSeq lists it as uncharacterized. The transcript has 3 exons. The record is from RefSeq and is a predicted model, not a curated record. NCBI's taxonomy places the organism in Eukaryota, Metazoa, Chordata, Mammalia, Rodentia, Sciuridae.